RNAcentral lists this ribosomal RNA (497 nucleotides) under uncultured bacterium. RNAcentral describes it as "partial 16S ribosomal RNA". It matches the Rfam family "Bacterial small subunit ribosomal RNA", at positions 28 to 507 of the family's 1533-position model. The record is from RNAcentral.
GAUGAACGCUGGCGGCGUGCCUAAUACAUGCAAGUCGAGCGAACGGACGAGAAGUUUGCUUCUCUGAUGUUAGCGGCGGACGGGUGAGUAACACGUGGAUAACCUACCUAUAAGACUGGGAUAACUUCGGGAAACCGGAGCUAAUACCGGAUAAUAUUUUGAACCGCAUGGUUCAAAAGAGAAAGACGGUCUUGCUGUCACUUAUAGAUGGAUCCGCGCUGCAUUAGCUAGUUGGUAGGGUAACGGCUUACCAAGGCAAUGAUGCAUAGCCGACCUGAGAGGGGGAUCGCCACCACGGGAACUGGGCCCCGGUCCGAACUCCUACGGGAGGCAGCAGUAGGGAAUCUUGCGCAAUGGGCGAAGGCCUGACGGAGCAACGCCGCGUGAGUGAUGAAGGUCUUCGGAUCGUAAGACUCUGUUAUUGGGGAGGAACAUAUGUGUAAGUAACUGUGCACAUCGUGACGGUACCUAAUCAGAAAGCCACGGCUAACUACGUG